Epinephelus moara (kelp grouper) is the source of this 4121-nucleotide RNA transcript. It is a transcript of the gene named glutamate-rich protein 1, with no coding region annotated. The transcript has 8 exons. The record is from RefSeq and is a predicted model, not a curated record. Lineage: Eukaryota; Metazoa; Chordata; Actinopteri; Perciformes; Serranidae.
UGGGCUGGUACUUUGGAGGAAGCAGCGAGAGGAGCCCGAGCACUACUGUAGUUCGGCAAGCGAAGCGGACUUGCCUUUAUUUUUUAAGUAUAGUUAACUCUUACCAACUCUUUAUCUAUUCCAACACGGAGCGUUGCACACACAACUCAAUUGUUUCACCGCCGUGGGAUUUAACCGCUGUUAUCAAUCGAGCUAAUUUCACAAGCUAGCAGGCUGGGUAGCUAACUCAGCUAGCAUGCUAACAUAUUAGCUGUAGCCACACGUUACAUUGAAAUUUCCGUCCUCUUCGCUUCCACUCAGAUAUAUAUGGCAAUAUGGCACGUAGGGAAGAAGUUUUUCAAUCAAAAGUACUUCAGAAGCUUUACCCUGCAGCUCCCAAACUGGAGAAGCAACCCAGCCCACCACGCAUUGUAGAUGCCCUAUCCAAAAAAACCUAUGUGAAAAGAAAGGCCUCUCAACAAGACACUGUCAUUGAUACAGGGACACAGAGUGCAGCCACUCCAGGCAGGCGGAUGUACACAGUCCUACCUCCUCCCACAGACUACAAGACAGAUUCAGAGAAAUCUGUCACACUUCCCCAGUUCGAAAGCAUAAAUAGUGCGGAGGACCCAGCUGAAGAGGUCGUCCAUGAUAGCGACAAAGACCAAGAUAAAGAGGAAGAAGAGCAGAAAAGAAAAAGGAGGCGAAGGAAAAGGAAAACAGCCCUCCAUCAAGACUCUGAGAAAGAUGGAGCAGCUCCACUGAGUGAGUCCAGCACAGGUCACACACCUGUAGAUGAGGGAGGUGAGCGCGUUAGCAGGAACAAGAAGAGGAAGCUGAAAAAGAAGCGGCACAAAGAAAAGCUGCUCUCCAUGGGUCUGAUGCCUCGGGCCACUGCCCUGGAGUUCACGUACCGAAAAGAUGGGGAAGAAGAGGAGGAGGAGGAGGAGGAGGAGGGGAGAGCUGUGGAUGUGUCAGACUUCCUCAGGACAACACUGGAAAUCUAUUUGUCAGAUUCCUCCAUGCGUGGAGACAAGCUUCCUCUCCUGUCUGGGACAGUGAAUGACCUUCUGAGCAGCAUAUCCAGCGGAUCCAAGCACACCUCUGUCCUGAAGCAGCUCCACAGUCUCAAGGCCCUUGUUCAACAGCAAGAGGCAAACAAGCUGGAAAUGGCACUGGAGGAGUUCUCCAACACGUCUCCCAUGUCUGCAGAGGAAACCACUGCAGUCAUUGCACUCUUCCAAUACUGGAUCACAGACAUUUUUCCCAUGCAAGGAGACAAGAAGACAGGGUUUUCUACGACACACCCAUGAGACAAAAGACCAUCGCAGCACCAAAAUGUUUUUCAGAGUCCCAAGACUGACUCCGGGCUACAUCAGACUGCUGCAGACCCAGGCCUACCAUAAUGUGUCUGUGACGGCUCCAGUGGAGAGGAGCAUGCCAGGCAUGGCUAUGCUCCUGGGAGCCGUGGGGAUCGGGAUGUGUGGUUACAGCUCCCGGCAGUUGGCCCUCUACCACCGGCCCUCCACCCGUGUCCUGCAGUGGGUUGGCACGCACACUGAUGCCAGCAUGGUGGGCUCAGCAGCCCAUAGGACCCCCUUCCUGGAUGUUCAUCGCCGGGCUGGUGCCUGCCAGGAGAUCCCACCUCCCUCCUUUGUAGGCCAGAAAGUUGCCAUGAAGUAAUAACCUGUAAUGCUAGGGUGGAUGUAGAUCGGCCAACAUGAUAGGUUGAGCUCCAGAUAACUCCACUUAUGCAUGAUUAAGAUUGUAGCUAUGCUGGCCCCGAGUGCGGCCCAUGUGCUCUCUGAAGAUGUGCAAGUGUGGAUAUUUGACUGACCUCAACCUUUAUGUUUGCAGGAAAUUGGAUGUCUUGUAGUAAAAAUGGAUUCUGUAACUAGUGCAACACAUAUAAAGAGUUUAACAGCUACUGGAUUGUGUGAAUUAGUCACUGAUACUAGAGACGUUAUUGCACUGAGAGGGCACGAAGCAAUAUGAAUGAUUGAAUGAGCACGUAAUGAGGCUGGAACUUCCCAAAUACUGUUGCUGAAUGUAGCUUAAAGGAGCUAACAUGUUUAAUUUGGAGACAUUGUGUGUCUUUUUGAGGCCUGGUGUAAAAAGGGACUGACGCUUGGCAGUGCCCCUCUGCACACAGAUGGUUGGCAACUCUCUCUCCGUGCCCCCAGCCCCCCUCCCCUUCCCUCCCCAGGCAGACAGCCACGUGUAAGUGCUUGAGCACCCCAUCCCUGCCCAUGACUUCAAUUGAUUUCCUCUGAGGAGGAGCAGGUGCCAUCCAUCAACAAGCCUUGGCGUUUGCUGGCGCGCUCUGGCGCCGGCUGUCAAUCAAGAGAUGGUGGAGGAAGACACAGGUUGGCUUUGUGGCGGAAUCAGUGACUGGUGCCUCCUGUGUUCGGGAAAGUUAAAUUCUCCAAGGGUUUGGUUGGGGUGGGUAGAGAAUAGCAAAGUGGCAGGGUAUUUUUGUAGAUCGACUACACUUCUUUUAAUAGCAGAAAGUUCCGUGCACUUGAUAUCAAAGCCUGAGUCAUGCGAACAAGGCUUGCACAAAUACACCUUGCCUGAUCAUGAGACCUAAUUUACCUGGCUGAGACUCAGCGGGUGGCAGGCGGGCAAGGUAGCAUAGUGAUUCCUCCUGGAUAAGUCUGUGUCCUCUGCAGGGAUUAACCCAGGUGGAAAAUCAUUCCUGGCACACUUACUCCUUUCCCUAAUCUGGUAUUAGAGACAGGGACCUGUGAGAAGCAGGCGAGCCGUGUGCAUCCCAACUUUUCACCAUUCCCCCUGCAGUGUCCACCGUUCGUCCAACAGCCAUGGAUUCACACAUUAUGGCGUUGCCUUUUGUGUUUAUCAAAAAUGUAGCAGUGAAAAAGGACUUGAGAUUUGGCGAGACACUGAGUGUGGUUGAGAGUGCGUGCUGUGCCUUAUGGAUAGCACAGGGUCGCCCAAUGAAUAUUUGAGUUCUGUGUUUUACAUAUUAUGGUGUCACGGUACCAAGCCAUAAAAGAGAGAGUUUUAUUCCUCCACCAGCAGUCAGACAGGAGGAGGAGGAGGCGGAGGAGGAGGAGGAGGAAGUAGUAUUCUGGAAAGUUGUGAAAAAAGGACGAUGGUGAGAAGGUGGAGUGUCUCUUCACUUAGAGGUCAGCCAGACCUUGUAAUCCACUUUUUCAUAGUUUAAGAGCUGUCCUUGUCCAUCUGCCAAAUUGGACCAGCGGCUAGUUGUGGCAGGUUGGGAGUUUAUAGAGCCCCGAUAGUGGCUCUCCAGAACGCUAGCGCAGUAGGUCACCAACAAAAUGGCUGUAAUCCACUCAGCAGAGAGAGCUAAUGGCUCCAACUGGCAUCAGACAGUUAGUUAACAAACAAUCGGUCGCCUUGCUCUGGACAGAGAGUGACACCAUUAAACAAUUUCAUAAUGGGGUUGUGAUGGCAACAGGAUGCUCUGCGUCACUAUAUACGCCGGUACGGUAAAUUGGGGUUUUUAAAUCAGAUACAUUCAAUAAUGAUAUGCUCUUCACCUUUUCUAAAAUCCAAGCUGGCGUGAACUGCAUUUAUAGUCUUACUCUUCAGGCAUUGCACUUUCAUGGGUGUAAAAUCAAUGUGGGUGGGGGCUGGAGGUUGUGUAAUGCACCUGGCUGGGUUUGAUGGAUUCUCUCUAUAUACUGCAGUGGUGCACAGUGAGCACAGAGCACUGUGGAAACCAAUUGAUCUCAAUCAGAGAGUGAGGGAGAGCUUGUCUCCUAGCUGCAGCAAACUUCCUGUUUCCCUCAGCGUUGUACAGUUUAUGAGGGAGAACUGCCAAGACAGCGUGCUGACAAAAGGAAUAUCUGAAACAUGUUUGCUGUUGGAAGAAAAUACAGGGGAUGUUUGAAAGCACAGUAUUCAUCUGUUAGCUCGUUGCGUGGGUGUCACACGUCAGUGCUCAUUCAUUUCAAUCUGUAAAGGUCUACAAAUUCGACUUCAGCUGUGCUUGUUAAAGAAGAGAUUUGUUCUGUUAGCGGUAUAAUUAAUAUUUAACCAAAAGUUGUUAGAGGAGAUUUAUGAAAUAAAAGCAUUUGGCAAACAUGCUGCUCUGCUGUUGCACUCAGUCACACCUGUGGGAUGGAUUGUAUUUGUACAGUGUUGUGCUUUUUGUA